RNAcentral lists this non-coding RNA (22 nucleotides) under Arabidopsis thaliana (thale cress). The record is from RNAcentral. Lineage: Eukaryota; Viridiplantae; Streptophyta; Magnoliopsida; Brassicales; Brassicaceae.
UCAGACAGAGGCUUAUAUCAAA